Molecule: ribosomal RNA, 188 nt
Filed under: uncultured bacterium
Lineage: Bacteria
Description: partial 16S ribosomal RNA
Rfam family: Bacterial small subunit ribosomal RNA
Source: RNAcentral
CCUACGGGAGGCAGCAGUAAGGAAUAUUGGACAAUGGUCGGAAGACUGAUCCAGCCAUGCCGCGUGCAGGAAGAAGGCGCUCAGCGUUGUAAACUGCUUUUGGACGGGAAUAACAWCCUCCACGAGAUGAGKGCCSUAUACGGUACUGUCAGAAUAAGCACCGAGCUAACUCCGUGCCAGCAGCCGCG